This 449-nucleotide long non-coding RNA is filed under the name Mytilus galloprovincialis (Mediterranean mussel). The record is from RNAcentral. Lineage: Eukaryota; Metazoa; Mollusca; Bivalvia; Mytilida; Mytilidae.
CGGCUAAACAUUUUAUCAGUAUUCACUAAUUUUGCAACAAAUUCAAUUAUCAAUACCAGCUUAAUUCCUGAUGAAUGGAGAACAUCAGACGUUUGUAUAUUUGCGCUUUGCAUUCUCUCUAAGGUGCUCUAACAUAUAGUAUGCUCCAACAUAAUGCGUAACCCGCGGGAUUAUUACAAUUUCAUCAAUGCUUUUAGUAAAUAUCGCAGUUUAGUUUAUAUGUUGUGUUUUGUGUACUGUUGCUUGUCUGUUUGUCUAUUCGGUGUUUUUUUUUUAGUCUUUUGAUCUUUUUUGUGUUUUUAGUCAUAGCGUUGCCAGUUUAUUUUCGGCUUUCUAUCUCUAAUGAGUUUUUGUUUCUACCCCUGGUAGAUAUAUCUAUAUAUAUACAACUCGUCUAAACAUCAACCCAACAAUGUUAGAUCUGUAAAUUUGCUUUCGCAAUUUUUUUG